Molecule: ribosomal RNA, 444 nt
Filed under: uncultured bacterium
Lineage: Bacteria
Description: partial 16S ribosomal RNA
Rfam family: Bacterial small subunit ribosomal RNA
Source: RNAcentral
CCUACGGUAGGCAGCAGUGGGGGAUAUUGGACAAUGGGGGGGAACCCUGAUCCAGCGACGCCGCGUGAGUGAAGAAGUAUUUCGGUAUGUAAAGCUCUGUCAGCAGGGAAGAAAGCAAUGACGGUACCUGACCAAGAAGCCCCGGCUAACUACGUGCCAGCAGCCGCGGUAAUACGUAGGGGGCAAGCGUUAUCCGGAAUUACUGGGUGUAAAGGGCGCGUAGACGGCUGUGCAAGUCUGGAGUGAAAGGCGGGGGCCCAACCCCCGGACUGCUCUGGAAACUGUAUGGCUGGAGUGCAGGAGAGGUAAGCGGAAUGCCUAGUGUAGCGGUGAAAUGCGCAGAUAUUAGGAGGAACACCAGUGGCGAAGGCGGCUUACUGGACUGUAACUGACGUUGAGGCUCGAAAGCGUGGGGAGCGAACAGGAUUAGAUACCCUUGUAGUC